UCGGAUAUGGUGUAACGGCUAACAUUGCCGCCUCUCACUUGAGACGAGAUUACGCGGCAGCUCGGGGUUCGAUUCCCCGUAUCCGAA
Non-coding RNA from Guyanagaster necrorhizus, 87 nucleotides. The record is from the annotation of a RefSeq genome assembly. NCBI's taxonomy places the organism in Eukaryota, Fungi, Basidiomycota, Agaricomycetes, Agaricales, Physalacriaceae.